AUACCUUUCUCGGCCUUUUGGCUAAGAUCAAGUGUAGUAUCUGUUCUUAUCAGUUUAAUAUCUGAUACGUGGGCCAUCGGCCCACAUGAUAUUAAAUUUAUUUUUCUAGGGGGAAAGCCCAAUAAAGUAGCUUGCUGCUUGGGCUUUCGAGUGUCGUCUGAACGUUGCACUACAGUUUGGGCCUGGCACACCCCAU
Molecule: small nuclear RNA, 196 nt
Organism: Andrographis paniculata
Lineage: Eukaryota; Viridiplantae; Streptophyta; Magnoliopsida; Lamiales; Acanthaceae
Product: U2 spliceosomal RNA
Exons: 1
Source: RefSeq, a predicted model, not a curated record